GUGCCAGCCGCCGCGGUAAUACGUAGGCAGCGAGCGUUGUUCGGAGUUACUGGGCGUAAAGGGUGCGUAGGCGGCCCCUUAAGUUUGGUGUGAAAUCUCCCGGCUCAACUGGGAGGGUGCGCCGGAUACUGAGGGGCUUCGAGUGCGGGAAGGGAAAGUAGAAUUCCUGGUGUAGCGGUGAAAUGCGUAGAUAUCAGGAGGAAUACCGGUAGUGCAAACGGCUUUCUGGACCGUAACUGACGCUGAGGCACGAAAGCGUGGGGAGCAAACAGGAUUAGAUACCCUGGUAGUCCACGCCCUAAACGAUGCAUGUUUGGUGUGGGUGAUUCAGUUCAUCCGUGCCGGAGCUAACGCGUUAAACAUGCCGCCUGGGGAGUACAGUCGCAAGGCUGAA
Molecule: ribosomal RNA, 394 nt
Filed under: uncultured bacterium
Lineage: Bacteria
Description: bacterial SSU rRNA
Rfam family: Bacterial small subunit ribosomal RNA
Source: RNAcentral